RNAcentral lists this ribosomal RNA (306 nucleotides) under uncultured Thermus sp. Its description in RNAcentral is "bacterial SSU rRNA". It matches the Rfam family "Bacterial small subunit ribosomal RNA", at positions 1077 to 1382 of the family's 1533-position model. The record is from RNAcentral. Lineage: Bacteria; Thermotogati; Deinococcota; Deinococci; Thermales; Thermaceae.
GGGUUAAGUCCCGCAACGAGCGCAACCCCCGCCGUUAGUUGCCAGCCGGUUCGGCCGGGCACUCUAACGGGACUGCCCGCGAAAGCGGGAGGAAGGAGGGGACGACGUCUGGUCAGCAUGGCCCUUACGGCCUGGGCGACACACGUGCUACAAUGCCCACUACAAAGCGAUGCCACCCGGCAACGGGGAGCUAAUCGCAAAAAGGUGGGCCCAGUUCGGAUUGGGGUCUGCAACCCGACCCCAUGAAGCCGGAAUCGCUAGUAAUCGCGGAUCAGCCAUGCCGCGGUGAAUACGUUCCCGGGCCUU